GACGAACGCUGGCGGCGUGCCUAAUACAUGCAAGUCGAGCGAAUCAAUAGGAGCUUGCUCCUGUUGGUUAGCGGCGGACGGGUGAGUAACACGUGGGCCACCUGCCUGUAAGACUGGGAUAACACCGGGAAACCGGUGCUAAUACCGGAUAAUCCUUUUCCUCUCAUGAGGAAAAGCUGAAAGUCGGUUUCGACUGACACUUACAGAUGGGCCCGCGGCGCAUUAGCUGGUUGGUGAGGUAAUGGCUCACCAAGGCGACGAUGCGUAGCCGACCUGAGAGGGUGAUCGGCCACACUGGGACUGAGACACGGCCCAGACUCCUACGGGAGGCAGCAGUAGGGAAUCUUCCACAAUGGACGAAAGUCUGAUGGAGCAACGCCGCGUGAGCGAUGAAGGCCUUCGGGUCGUAAAGCUCUGUUGUUAGGGAAGAACAAGUACCGGAGUAACUGCCGGUACCUUGACGGUACCUAACCAGAAAGCCACGGCUAACUCCGUGCCAGCCGCCGCUGUAA
This 512-nucleotide ribosomal RNA is filed under the name uncultured bacterium. RNAcentral describes it as "partial 16S ribosomal RNA". It matches the Rfam family "Bacterial small subunit ribosomal RNA", at positions 28 to 523 of the family's 1533-position model. The record is from RNAcentral.